AAGUGUCACAGUUCUUUUAGAAUUUGUCUAGCAGGGUUUCCGGUUUUACUGGAAAAAA
Molecule: small nuclear RNA, 58 nt
Filed under: Rhinopithecus bieti (black snub-nosed monkey)
Lineage: Eukaryota; Metazoa; Chordata; Mammalia; Primates; Cercopithecidae
Description: U7 small nuclear RNA (ENSRBIG00000007492.1)
Rfam family: U7 small nuclear RNA
About the family: Animal histone pre-mRNAs are spliced by a different mechanism than nuclear pre-mRNAs and self-splicing introns. This processing involves the U7 snRNP, which contains only one RNA species: U7. The 5' end of U7 RNA is thought to base-pair to a conserved spacer element downstream of the cleavage site in histone pre-mRNA.
Source: Rfam by way of RNAcentral